This 503-nucleotide ribosomal RNA is filed under the name uncultured bacterium. Its description in RNAcentral is "partial 16S ribosomal RNA". It matches the Rfam family "Bacterial small subunit ribosomal RNA", at positions 30 to 523 of the family's 1533-position model. The record is from RNAcentral.
AUUGAACGCUGGCGGCAUGCCUUACACAUGCAAGUCGAACGGCAGCACGGGAGCUUGCUCCUGGUGGCGAGUGGCGAACGGGUGAGUAAUACAUCGGAACGUACCCAGUAGUGGGGGAUAACGCACCGAAAGGUGCGCUAAUACCGCAUACGACCUACGGGUGAAAGCGGGGGACCGUAAGGCCUCGCGCUAUUGGAGCGGCCGAUGUCUGAUUAGCUAGUUGGCGGGGUAAUAGCCCACCAAGGCGACGAUCAGUAGCUGGUCUGAGAGGACGAUCAGCCACACUGGGACUGAGACACGGCCCAGACUCCUACGGGAGGCAGCAGUGGGGAAUUUUGGACAAUGGGGGCAACCCUGAUCCAGCAAUGCCGCGUGUGCGAAGAAGGCCUUCGGGUUGUAAAGCACUUUUGUCAGGGAAGAAAUCUUUCAGGCUAAUACCCUUGGAAGGAUGACGGUACCUGAAGAAUAAGCACCGGCUAACUACGUGCCAGCCGCCGCCGUAA